Molecule: long non-coding RNA, 281 nt
Filed under: Manihot esculenta (cassava)
Lineage: Eukaryota; Viridiplantae; Streptophyta; Magnoliopsida; Malpighiales; Euphorbiaceae
Description: long non-coding RNA (MESC_LNC001253)
Source: RNAcentral
CCUUGUGGAGGCAGUUCGGCUGCCAAAGGUUGCCCCCGAAAGCUAGGCUUUCGGUUUAGAAAGAGACUUUCGGUCGCCGAAAGAGGGAGUUCGGCCGCCGAAAGUGUGUGAGUUUUGUCUCUGGACGAGACCUUCGGCCGCCGAAGGUGCCGCCGAACAUGCAUGAGUUUCGUCUCUGGAGUGGGGUUUCGGCCGCCGAAUCUGCCGCCGAAAGUGCCCUGUCCAGCUUUCUUUUGCAUGUUUUAUGUGAUGGUUUUAGGAUUGUUUAGAGGGGUUUUGGG